This 438-nucleotide ribosomal RNA is filed under the name Triticum aestivum (bread wheat). RNAcentral describes it as "partial small subunit ribosomal RNA". The record is from RNAcentral. Lineage: Eukaryota; Viridiplantae; Streptophyta; Magnoliopsida; Poales; Poaceae.
AUGUCUGGGUUGCAUAACCGCUUGACUCAGCUGGGAGUUAAUCUCCCGGAUGAUGCGGUCAUUGACAGAAUCCUCCAGUCGCUUCCACCAAGCUACAAGAGCUUUGUGAUGAACUUCAAUAUGCAGGGGAUGGAAAAGACCAUUCCUGAAGUAUUUGCUAUGCUGAAAUCAGCAGAGGUAGAAGUCAGAAAGGAACAUCAAGUGUUGAUGAUCAAUAAAACCACUAAGUUCAAGAAGGGCAAGGGUAAAAAGAACUUCAAGAAGGACGGCAAGGUAGUUGCCGCGCCCAGCAAGCAAGCUGCCGGGAAGAAGCCAAAGAAUGGACCCAAGCCCGAGACUGAGUGUUUUUAUUGCAAGGAAAGUGGUCACUGGAAGCGGAACUGCCCCAAAUACUUAGCGGACAAGAAGGCCGGCAAAACCAAAGGAGCUGCGGAAUAA